Molecule: ribosomal RNA, 497 nt
Filed under: uncultured bacterium
Lineage: Bacteria
Description: partial 16S ribosomal RNA
Rfam family: Bacterial small subunit ribosomal RNA
Source: RNAcentral
GAUGAACGCUGGCGGCGUGCCUAAUACAUGCAAGUCGAGCGAACGGACGAGAAGCUUGCUUUUCUGAUGUUAGCGGCGGACGGGUGAGUAACACGUGGAUAACCUACCUAUAAGACUGGGAUAACUUCGGGAAACCGGAGCUAAUACCGGAUAAUAUUUUGAACCGCAUGGUUCAAAAGUGGAAGACGGUCUUGCUGUCACUUAUAGAUGGAUCCGCGCUGCAUUAGCUAGUUGGUAAGGUAACGGCUUACCAAGGCAACGAUGCAUAGCCGACCUGAGAGGGUGAUCGGCCACACUGGAACUGACACACGGUCCAGACUCCUACGGGAGGCAGCAGUAGGGAAUCUUCCGCAAUGGGCGAAAGCCUGACGGAGCAACGCCGCGUGAGUGAUGAAGGUCUUCGGAUCGUAAAACUCUGUUAUUAGGGAAGAACAUAUGUGUAAGUAACUGUGCACAUCUUGACGGUACCUAAUCAGAAAGCCACGGCUAACUACGUG